Molecule: long non-coding RNA, 1328 nt
Organism: Scophthalmus maximus (turbot)
Lineage: Eukaryota; Metazoa; Chordata; Actinopteri; Pleuronectiformes; Scophthalmidae
Exons: 3
Source: RefSeq, a predicted model, not a curated record
GGGGGGGGGGGUCGUCGUCCCACAGAUGUGCUGACUCUGCAGAAACACAAACACCAGCUGACGGAGCCGGGGGCCAAUCAGAAGAAGAGAGCCGAGCGUCCCAGUGAAUCCAGACCCCGUUGGGAAAAUCCUUUUCUCCGAUGAGCGAGCAUUAAUAACGCGUCUGUUUCCCCUUUCACGGCCGUAAUCUCCAAGUGAUCUCGGGCCUCCCGCGCUAAAUUAUUCCUGCGGGGGCCGUGAAAAGGCGGCAGCGAGCUGGUUCCUUUAAGAGGCAAAUGAACAGCCGACGUGCGACGACGACGUCGUUCCCAGCAACGGAAACGUUAAGUCAACCACACACGGAGCAGGUUCAGGGCCCAGAGGCGGGAGCCACUGACGUGGGCCCCCGUCAUGGAGGCAAAGCCUGCUGGCGUUCAGGACCCGCACAGGAAGUGGUGUUCCCACGGAUACGCAGGUUCUGUCUCUUCAAACUCGACUCAGACUCAGUGACUCAGGUGUUUGCUCGAUACAUCGAAGUUACGGACGGAGGCGACAGUUUCUUCAUCGUCUCCGUGACUUUGUGCCGUGAAAAGGUGUUUUUAUAUAAAUCCCAGGACGUGAUGCAGUGGAAUCAGGAAGAGAGAGACCGUGGACCGUUCGUUACACAGAUCAACAGGUGGUCAGUGCAUGUGGGCGUGUCCUCAUCCAACAGACAGAAUGUCUGUCUCCGUAGAAACGCUCCGUCUCUGUCUCGGUCCAUUCAGGACAAAGGGCCACCGACCUGAUAACACACUCAACAUUCUGAGAGUCGGUUUUCAUUUGUUGCCGCGAUCUUUUCCCUGAACUCAACAUCAAGACGUUGCAGGAAGUGACACACCGAUGAAGAUGUUGUUCUCUCCUCAUGUUCUUCGCCAAACUUCUCUGUUGAUUUAACUGAUAGAAAAGUCCGGAGCAGCCGAACUUGAUGGAUUUCAGGCUCGACAUCAAACGUUGAGACGAUAAAUUCAGUUUUUCUUCUUCUUGCUCGUCGGUCGUGUGACUGAAUCCGGAUCUUAUCACGUUUCUUAUUUCGUGAAAUACUGCCAGACUCACGUGAGACGUGUGUUUAGCCUAGCUUAGCACAAACACAGGAAGCAGCUAGGCUAGCUCAUCAUAAUCACCUUUGACUGAGAGAGUUUAAUAUUUUAAUGAAAAAAAGAGGAAAUCUAGGAUUUCUGGAUGUCAUUUAAAUUUUCUAGAUUCUAACAUUUGUUAGAAUUUAUUGUUUUUCCCCCCAGGAUUAAAAAAAAGUGUUUAAUAAGUGUUAUUUGUUAAGAUGUUAUUCAUAUGAAUAAAAUAAAUUAAUGUUU